GACGCUGGCGGCGUGCCUAAUACAUGCAAGUCGAACGGCUUUUCUAUGGAAGCUUGCUUCCACUGAAAAGAUAGUGGCGAACGGGUGAGUAACACGUGGGUAACCUGCCCAUAAGAGGGGGGAUAACAUCCGGAAACGGGUGCUAAUACCGCAUAGUUUUCUUGAUCGCAUGAUCGGGAAAGGAAAGACGGCCUUUGUGCUGUCGCUUAUGGAUGGACCCGCGGCGUAUUAGUUAGUUGGUGAGGUAACGGCUCACCAAGACGAUGAUACGUAGCCGACCUGAGAGGGUGAUCGGCCACAUUGGGACUGAGACACGGCCCAAACUCCUACGGGAGGCAGCAGUAGGGAAUCUUCCGCAAUGGACGAAAGUCUGACGGAGCAACGCCGCGUGAGUGAAAGAAGGUUUUUCGGAUCGUAAAACUCUGUUGUCAGAGAAGAACAAGUUGGAGAGUAACUGCUCCAGCCUUGACGGUAUCUGACCAGAAAGCCACGGCUAACUACGUGCCAGCCGCCGC
Molecule: ribosomal RNA, 515 nt
Filed under: uncultured bacterium
Lineage: Bacteria
Description: bacterial SSU rRNA
Rfam family: Bacterial small subunit ribosomal RNA
Source: RNAcentral